RNAcentral lists this long non-coding RNA (781 nucleotides) under Homo sapiens (human). RNAcentral describes it as "HSALNT0014475". The record is from RNAcentral. Lineage: Eukaryota; Metazoa; Chordata; Mammalia; Primates; Hominidae.
UUUGACGUUUCUGUAGUGUGGGUCAGCUGGUAGUGAAUUCGGUCAGCUUAUCGAAGCCUAUAUGGGUUCCCGAUGUCACAUCGCAGCUACCGCAUUGGAGGGUUAAGAGCCGCUGACAAAUCUCUUUCGGGAAGGGAAGAAGAGUUCCAAACAAAAGAUCUACUACCCUGAGAAGCGGUGAAGUGCUCCUGGGGCCCACCAAGGCCACACAAGUCAAGGAGUGGAUGGCCUUGCCCCAGCUAUGGCUCAGAUCACCUUUGCAGGAUGACAUCUUGUUGGGAGAUGGUCAUCAGAGACAGGGCCAUGGAAGACGCUGUCAGGAGGAGGCACAGAGGAAAGGCUAUGGGAGCACAAAGCAAGAAAGUGGCCUUCUGCAAGCCAGGAAGAGAGGCCUCCCCAGAAACCAACUCUACCAGCACAUUGAUCUUGGACUUUUGGCCUCUAGAACAUUGAGAAAAUAAAAGUCUGCUGUUAAACCACCCAACCUUUGGUAUCUUUCUAUGGCAGCCUGAGCUGACUAACACCCUUGGACACAGGUGGAGGAACUGGUAAUCUUCUCAGGGCUUUGCCUGAAAUGGUGUUGUGAAAUGUUCCAGCAAAGCCCAUUUAGGAGAGCCUAUAUGGACAAGGAUUCUUGCUGCACUUUGUGUGGGUAAUCAGGCCAAGUAUAUGGGACUGAAGCUUCUUUUGCAGAUUUUUAUGCCGAAUUUCUAGCUCCUGCGUCUCUAUUGCGGGCCCUAAAAGUCGCUGUUUCACUAAGCUUUGGAACCUGACUCCGGGA